RNAcentral lists this ribosomal RNA (506 nucleotides) under uncultured Glomeromycotina. RNAcentral describes it as "SSU rRNA". It matches the Rfam family "Eukaryotic small subunit ribosomal RNA", at positions 569 to 1077 of the family's 1831-position model. Lineage: Eukaryota; Fungi; Glomeromycota. The record is from RNAcentral.
AGCAGCCGCGGUAAUUCCAGCUCCAAUAGCGUAUAUUAAAGUUGUUGCAGUUAAAAAGCUCGUAGUUGAACUUCGGGGUUCACCCAUUGGUCAGGCUUAAUUGUCUGUACUGGUGAGAUGAGUCUCUACCUUCUGAGGAACUUUCAUGCCAUUUAUUUGGUGUGGUUGGAAAUCAGGACUGUUACUUUGAAAAAAUUAGAGUGUUUAAAGCAGGCUAACGUCUGAAUACAUUAGCAUGGAAUAAUGAAAUAGGACGGAUUGAUUCUAUUUCGUUGGUUUCUAGGGUCACCGUAAUGAUUAAUAGGGAUAGUUGGGGGCAUUAGUAUUCAAUUGUCAGAGGUGAAAUUCUUGGAUUUAUUGAAGACUAACUACUGCGAAAGCAUUUGCCAAGGAUGUUUUCAUUAAUCAAGAACGAAAGUUAGGGGAUCGAAGACGAUCAGAUACCGUCGUAGUCUUAACCAUAAACUAUGCCGACUAGGAAUCGGGCGAUGUUGAAAAAAUGACGC